GCUCCAAUGUAUACAAGGUGUGCUAUAGGAAACAGUGAAGAUGCUAACCUUCACAGUCACUCUUGACCCUCUACCAGGUACCUUACCACUCACGCAUCUAACCGUAACUAAUAAAAGUACAAAAGCUUGUAUUGUGUAAACAGAAGGCUACUUUCAAGUCAAGUUUUGCUAUACCCAGUGACAAGCUUGUACAGCCGGACGAGCAUCUCAGGAUGUUAUGCUUAAAAGAAAAUUAAGACAAG
Molecule: unclassified non-coding RNA, 242 nt
Filed under: Hevea brasiliensis (rubber tree)
Lineage: Eukaryota; Viridiplantae; Streptophyta; Magnoliopsida; Malpighiales; Euphorbiaceae
Source: RNAcentral